GAAAGAACUGCCAGAAACCUCUUCUGGGAGAUCAAGGUUUGAGAGGGACAAAAGGGAUGAAGAAGAUCCAGAUCAGCCCCUUGCUAUCCAAUUCGGUAUGUUGCCUCCUGUCAUGGCCAAUAAUUACCUACUGGCCAAUGAGUUCAAAAAUAAGGAAAAAGAAGAAGAGAGGGAGGACAACGAAGGAGAAGCCUGCGUGCUGGUAUGUGAAGAAGGCCAGACUUCUGGAGAGGCCUACAACGAUGAAGAGGACGAUGGGAUGACAGACAUUGAAGAAG
Molecule: long non-coding RNA, 278 nt
Filed under: Olea europaea subsp. europaea
Lineage: Eukaryota; Viridiplantae; Streptophyta; Magnoliopsida; Lamiales; Oleaceae
Source: RNAcentral